This 557-nucleotide long non-coding RNA is filed under the name Androctonus crassicauda. Lineage: Eukaryota; Metazoa; Arthropoda; Arachnida; Scorpiones; Buthidae. The record is from RNAcentral.
AUUAGACUCAGAAACUACUUAAAAAAUUGUAAGCAAAGUUUUAAUAAAGUAAAUUCAAACAAAUUAACAAAACUCAAAUAUUCCAAAAACCAACACGAAAUAAAUCUUAAAAAUACCUGUUCGGGCGCCAUUUACAAUGUUUGGGAUUUCUGCCGAAACAUUGUAUUGAGUUCGACCCCGCGCCUCCUCUCUACUGGUCUUCCAAGUCGAUCUAAUCUUAAUGUGAAUGUCUAUUUCAUUGGCAUCUAGCCAUCUUAAAACAGACUCAGACCAAUGCUCCAUUUAAACAACACUUUUAUUGAAUAAAAAAAGUUUAACUUACAAUACGUUAAUAUUAUGAUAAACGAGUCUCGCCUACUCAAAAAGAAUAAAUCUGUAUCUUCAAUGUUGAAAUCACUUGUUUCAAAACUAACCUUCAAUAAAUCCAGACAAGUCACGACUAUGUAUAACAAACCACCAGUACCAUGGAUGACAAAACAUACAACAGGGCGAAAUUCACAGCGCCUUCUUCUGGAGUGCUUUUCAAAAAAACUAAAUUUACAUUUUUCGUACAUUAU